GGUAAUUUGAAUGUUAUUAAAAUAGGAAAGUUAUGCUUAUCACAAAGCAAAAACAUUCUAUAAAUUUAUAUUCUUAUAUAGAUCUGCAUCAGUUGUAACAGAUGAUUCUGUGGACUGUUUUCAGGUAUUAAAAUCGCCAAUGAGCAAAAUAAUAACAUUCAUUGGCGGACUGGGCCUAAAAAUUUUGGAGACAAAGGGGAUCACCCACAAAUAUCAUUUAAUUUUUAUAAGAAUUUUUAAGGGGGCCCAGUUGCCAUCGGUCUAACUGUUACCCUGGCCAGUCCGCCAUCCAGGGCCGGCGUGACCUUUUGCGGGGCCGGGUUCAAAAAUUUUGCGGGGCCUGAAUACACAUUCAAAUCCUACACUUAAAUUUUACAACGAGG
This 383-nucleotide long non-coding RNA is filed under the name Androctonus crassicauda. The record is from RNAcentral. Lineage: Eukaryota; Metazoa; Arthropoda; Arachnida; Scorpiones; Buthidae.